RNAcentral lists this long non-coding RNA (257 nucleotides) under Gossypium barbadense (sea-island cotton). RNAcentral describes it as "long non-coding RNA (GBAR_LNC005256)". The record is from RNAcentral. Lineage: Eukaryota; Viridiplantae; Streptophyta; Magnoliopsida; Malvales; Malvaceae.
AUUAGUCCAAAAGUCAAGUGGUUGUUAAAAAUGAGGUAUUGGGGCCUCGUUUUCUUAAUUUUAGAUCGUAAAUAUUUUUAUUAAAUAUUAUAGAGUUGUAUUAUAUGUGAAUUGAAGUUUGGUCCAAAAAUUUUGAUGAUUUAUUACUUAAUUAAGGUAAAAGGAUUAAAUUGAAAAAGAGGUAAAAGUUAAUUGUUAUAGAUUUAAAAUAGUAAAGGGACCAAAAUGGUGAUUAAACCAUGGUCAAAAAGUCCAAG